CUUUCUCUUUCUCCUCUCCUCCUCUUUCCACUCUCCUUCUUCUCCUCGCCUCCCCUCACUCUCCUCCCUCCGACUCUGCACUUCAGCCCUGCCUCCUUCAUCUCCUUUUCCUGCCUGUUCCCCUUCAGUGCCCGCUCUCCUCUCUCUUCUCCAGGCUCAGACACUCUCACUGCUCUGUCUGUGGUCGCUGUCCCCUCCCUGUCCCAGGCUCCCUUCUCUGCCCCUGCCCUCCUCCCCUCCCCACUCCCUUCCGUCCCUUCCCUCUGGUCCUCUCCUCCCCCAGCCCCCUCCUUGCCCAUUUCCCCCACUUUCUUUUUCUUCCCACUCCUUUGGUUGUCUUGCUCUUUCCCUGCCCAGCUCUGCCCACCUCCUCUCUGCCCUCUCCUCUCCCGCUCCCGAGGCGCACUUCCCUCAUUGCGUCCUCUCCUCUUCCUCCCAUCCUCCGCCCCGUCCGGGCUCCUUGUUCCUCCCUCUGCGGUGCUUUCGGGCCUUGCUCCCUCCAGUCUGGGGAGGCCCCUGCUCCCCCCCUUGUUCUUCACCCACCCAGGGGUCCUCUGAGGCUGGGGCGGGCGGUGCCACCUGGUGUCCCCAGGGGACCCCUGUGACCCUGCCCUUUCUUUUCUGUCUGCCGGGGAUGCCUGACGCUGCCUGGAGGGAUCAGCCACCCUAGGCCCAGGAACCCAGAACCAGAAGGACACCGAGGUUGGCCGCGACCUUCCCACCUCACAAGCAUGCAGCAGGACGGGAGGCUCACAGACAGGAUGGACACCCAGCGUUUCUGAAGCCCAUGCACCGCUGGGACAGAGAAGGCAUGGCUGGAGGCCGGGAGACCUGCAGGAGGACCCUCUGGGGCCUCUGUCCCCACCUGCUGGCGGACGCUAGAAGUGCAACCCUGCUAUAUUAGACACGGAGACCCACAAGAAGUGAAGAGACCAACCUGGGGAAGGGAGACGGGCUGUCGGGUGGGUGGAGAGGGAGAAUUCGCAGAAUCCUGUGCCAAUGAAUGCUUUUGUUCCUAACAUACAAACACCCUGCCCAGCGA
This is a long non-coding RNA of Chinchilla lanigera (long-tailed chinchilla), 1042 nucleotides long. RefSeq lists it as uncharacterized. The record is from RefSeq and is a predicted model, not a curated record. The transcript has 2 exons. Lineage: Eukaryota; Metazoa; Chordata; Mammalia; Rodentia; Chinchillidae.